GGCUGUAGCUCAUUGGUAGAGCACUUGCCUUGCACAUGUGAGGCACUGGGUUCAAUCCUCAGCACCA
This 67-nucleotide transfer RNA is filed under the name Marmota monax (woodchuck). RNAcentral describes it as "tRNA.Ala". Lineage: Eukaryota; Metazoa; Chordata; Mammalia; Rodentia; Sciuridae. The record is from RNAcentral.